Molecule: ribosomal RNA, 255 nt
Filed under: uncultured bacterium
Lineage: Bacteria
Description: partial 16S ribosomal RNA
Rfam family: Bacterial small subunit ribosomal RNA
Source: RNAcentral
UACGUAGGGGGCAAGCGUUGUCCGGAUUUAUUGGGCGUAAAGAGCGUGUAGGCGGCCGCACAGGUCCGUUGUGAAAACUGGAGGCUCAACCUUCAGACGUCGAUGGAAACCGUGCGGCUAGAGUCCGGAAGAGGAGAGUGGAAUUCCGUGGAUGUAGCGGUGAAAUGCGCAGAUAUCAGGAGGAACACCGAUGGCGAAGGCAGGUCUCUGGGCCACUACUGACGCUGAGAAGCGAAAGCAUGGGGAGCGAACAGG